RNAcentral lists this small RNA (119 nucleotides) under Marmota monax (woodchuck). The record is from RNAcentral. Lineage: Eukaryota; Metazoa; Chordata; Mammalia; Rodentia; Sciuridae.
GCCAGGCACAAUGGCUCACGCCUGUAAUCCUGGCAACUCAGGAGGCUGAGACAGGAGGACCACGAGUUCAAAGUCAGCCUAAGCAAGGCGCUAAGCAACUCAGUGAGACCCUGUCUCUA